AGCAGUGAGGAAUAUUGGUCCAUAGCCUAACGGCUGAACCAGCAACUUGGAGGAAUGUAUAGCAAUAGCUACCUGCAUCAUCAUUUUCUCAUUUUCUUCUUCUUUUCUCAUUAUCAGAGAAAAAUCAGAAGAAAAGUAGAGAAAAGUAAAGAUGAUGCAAGAUCGACUAUGUCGAAUAAAAUUCUAGGUAGAAUUAUGAUAAUGACAUUGUCUGCCUAUGUGUCUUGACCAAAUUACGUGCCAGCAGUCGCGGUAAUACGUAGAAGACUAGUGUUAUUCAUGUUUAAUCGGUUUAAAGGGUACCUAGACGGUAAAUCAAGCUUUCAAAGAAAAAAAUAAAGAGAAUUAAAGGACUAAUUUACUAGAGUUACUUAUGAGGGGGUAUUAAAGUACUGCUGGUGUAGAGAUGAAAUUCUGUCAUACCUCUUUUCAAAAGAAAAAUGAUGGCACAGGUAUAGGCGAAGGCAUCCCCUUAUGUGAUAACUGACGUUGAGGGACGAAGGCUUUGUGUAGCGAACAGGAUUAGAUACCCCAGUAGUCGAAGCAGAAAAUGAUGAAUGUCAUAGAUUAGAUAUAUAAGUUUAUUCUAUAAAUGAAAGUGUAAGCAUUCCACCUCAUGAGUAAUUUGGCAACAUUGGAACUGAAAUCAUUAGACCGUUUCUGAAACCAGUAGUGAAGUAUGUUGUUUAAUUUGAUGAUCCGCAAAAAACCUUACCACAAUUUGAAUAUUUAUAUUUUUUAUUGUUUUCUUAUUAAUUUCUUUUACUUUUCUUCUGAAGAAGAAAAUGAGAAAAUUAAUAAAGAGGCAAUAAGAUAUAUUUACAAGCGUUGCACGGCUGUCUUCAGUUAAUGUCGCGAGACUUUGGUUAGUUCCAUUAAAUUAACGUAAACCCUUACUUUAUUUUUAUAUAGAGUAGUUCCCCGCUAUAUUGGAUAUGAUAACAGGGACUAAGACAA
This 957-nucleotide ribosomal RNA is filed under the name Parmelia barrenoae. Its description in RNAcentral is "SSU rRNA". It matches the Rfam family "Bacterial small subunit ribosomal RNA", at positions 350 to 1188 of the family's 1533-position model. Lineage: Eukaryota; Fungi; Ascomycota; Lecanoromycetes; Lecanorales; Parmeliaceae. The record is from RNAcentral.